This 444-nucleotide ribosomal RNA is filed under the name uncultured bacterium. Its description in RNAcentral is "bacterial SSU rRNA". It matches the Rfam family "Bacterial small subunit ribosomal RNA", at positions 70 to 529 of the family's 1533-position model. The record is from RNAcentral.
UCCUUCGGGUGAUUCUAAAGAAGGACAGCGGCGGACGGGUGAGUAACGCGUAGGCAACCUGCCCCAUACAUUGGGAUAGCCCUGGGAAACUGGGUGUAAUACCGAAUAACACUUUGAAAUGGCAUCUUUUCAAAGUCAAAACUCCGGUGGUAUGGGAUGGGCCUGCGUCUGAUUAGCUAGUUGGUAAGGUAAUGGCUUACCAAGGCGACGAUCAGUAGCCGACCUGAGAGGGUGAUCGGCCACACUGGAACUGAGACACGGUCCAGACUCCUACGGGAGGCAGCAGUGGGGAAUAUUGCACAAUGGGCGAAAGCCUGAUGCAGCAACGCCGCGUGAGUGAUGAAGGCUUUCGGGUUGUAAAACUCUGUCCUAAAGGAAGAAUAAUGACGGUACUUUAGGAGGAAGCCCCGGCUAACUACGUGCCAGCAGCCGCGGUAAUACGUA